UCGCCAACUUUCUGGAUCUGACGGUUCCAGAAAGCAACAAACAUGAACCCGGAGGAGCGGUCUACAUCGGAUUCAUUUCUGCCAUGCUGCUGUUUAUCUCUGGCCUGAUUUUCUGCACAUCUUGUGUGAAAAAGAGAGCAGAAGCUUUGCUCUACCCAUCCAAGCAGCAACAUAUCCCCAUCUCGCAGCCAGAGGACAAUUCAGCAUACAGCCUGAAGGAUUACGUGUAAACAGCUGUGUGAUGCACAUGGAGUUUUCAGGUGCCUGCCGUGACUUCUGCCUUUCUUUUCAAUACUGGGAUUGUGCUUCACUUUCUCCAUAAAGAAUGCAGAAUAUUUAAACAUGAUGUUCAAGAAUGCCAACAAAGUCUGUGGACAAUUACAUCUGUUUUAGAUUAUUUUUGGAUUAUUAUUGUCAUGUUUUAUCUAAAGGUUUAUAGUGGAAAGAGGUUCUGAUUAUAUUAAUAAGCAACUGAUAGUUCCAGUCCUUUUAAGAUAAACUGUAAAUACAUCUUCCUAACUGGCACUUAAUGGGAUUUUAUAAAAGAACUGAAUUGCCAAGUAUAAAAUGCACUUUGUGCGGGGGUUAAUGCAAGAUGUCACCUGCUUUUGCUGUCUCUGCCUGGCACCAGCACAGUAUCUGCUUCUGUUUUCAAGCCCCCCUGAAUGCCAGCGCCUUAGGGAUGGAAGAGCAGUCUACUUCUUUCAGAGACUGCCCAAACCAGCCACCUCUCGGCCCCGCCUACUGAAACAUCUUGGUUCUUUGUACAUUUUAGGAAAAACAUCUCCAUACGUUUGCAGGAGCCUGACAAUACAAUAAAGAUUAGGCAGAAAUAAGAGAAAGUGGUAAAUGCUACCCCAGUAAAGCAAACUCAACCAAAUCCAAACUGAAGUUGCUAGGACUUUAAAGGAUUGAGCACAAGCUCAGUGAAAAGAAGAAGAGUUUAUUUAAUAAUGCUUACGAACUGCCCUCUCUUGCUCCCAACAAGAGGAUUCUCCAGAUUAAAUUCACUUACCCCAUCAUUCUUGAUUUACCACUAUCAUUUGCUAUCUCAUUGAUUAGUAUUUGGAUGACCAAGGUUUGUCUUUUUUUCUCAAGUUUGAUUCAUGUGGACGAAAAUGUUUUUAUAAAUGAGCUGCUUCAAUUAGGUAAUGGAUGUGAAAAUAUUUUUGCUUUUUGGGGCCACACUUGCGGCACAUGGAGGUUCCCAGGUUAGGGGUCAAAUUGGAGCUAUAGGUGCUGGCCUACGCCACAGCCACAGCCACUCACGAUCCAAGCCAUGUCUGCAACCUACACCACAACUCACAGCAAUGCAAGAUCCCCAACCCACUGAGCAAGGAUCCAGCAUUGCCGUGAGCUGUGGGAUGGGUUGCAGACGCAGCUUGGAUCUGGCGUUGCUGUGGCUGUGGUGUAGGCUGGUGGCUACAGCUCCGAUUCGACCCCUAGCCUGGGAAUCUCCAUAUGCUGUGGGAGCGGCUCAAGAAAAGGCAGAAAAAGUAAAAAAAAAAUAAUAAAAAUAACUGAUAAAAAUAUUUUAAUGCAAAUGAAUGUGAUAGGAUUGCUUUGACACCUAUAAUGGUUCUCAUUUUGCUUAGUAUGACUGGCUUUAUAUGCAGUCUAUGUAUCCUACAGUCUGUUAUUAAAAAUUCACUUCAUAUAUUCUUAGUUCUGUAUUACUUCAAAACGUUUUAUUUAGCUGUGGAAUAUUGCCUUCCGAAAUAUAUACAGGAAUUUUUUUUAUUACUCAAUGAAUUUAUCACAUCUGUAGUUGUACAAUGAUCAUCACAACCCAAUUACACAGGAUUUCCAUCCCACAACCCAAGCACAUCCCCCCACCCCCCAAACUGUCUCCUCCAGAGACCAUAAGUUUUUCAAUGUCUGUGAGUCAGCAU
RNAcentral lists this long non-coding RNA (1892 nucleotides) under Sus scrofa (pig). RNAcentral's name for it is "lncRNA (ENSSSCG00040056246.1)". The record is from RNAcentral. Lineage: Eukaryota; Metazoa; Chordata; Mammalia; Artiodactyla; Suidae.